UGAAAAAAGUGACUGACCUUCCUUAGGGCAUGGCUUCCUAACAUACAAAGGACCUAAGUAUCAUUAACUUAGCAUAAUUGUAGAUUAAAUUAUUAUGAUUAAGGGGAUCAUGUGGAACGAUUCUUGAAAUAUUGUUUUUUAGCUAGUCAAGUUUCUUUAGUUGUCUUCUUCUGAUUAAGGGUAGUGCAUUUGUUGAUUAAUGGAGCAAUGUCGGGUUGAUUACUAAUCCUUUUCUCAUUAUUUAUUUAUUUAUCUUUUUUUUUGUUAAUGAGGAUAUUCUGAACUUGUUAAGAAUCUUUCUGAUUUUCAAGACGUAAUCAAUUAUUAGGAAUAAGUUCUUUGGACGUGAGCUAAUAGUUUUGCCAGUAGCUAGCUCAACUAUAAUUAUGUACUCCUUUUAUAUAGUUAAUUUGCUGGAUUGGUUGACUAUCGUUAUUCUAAUUUCUAGCUAACAUGCGUUUGCUUUUAACCAUAUAACUCUAACCUAAGACUUCGCCUAGUAGUUUUCAUUUGCAUCUUCAGAAAGAUUUUGGUUGAAUUUCAUUGAAAUCUCGAAAUUUCAGCGCUGUAGGUUUCUUCACUACAUAUCCAUAACUAUGCGGUUCUUGCUCAGGACUUUGCUUUCUGGGUCGGGGAACCUGCACCCUCAUAGUCCAAUAAAGCUUUUGAAUACAUAUUCCUUUUGAGGAGUAAUAAUCCUAUUAGAACAGCCCUCUGUAGGGGGUGAUCCGAACCUUACGUUUGCGCUGAAGGUGUGUAGUUUGGUCAUUUACUACCUCCCUCCACCCCCUUCCUCCUCCUCUAUUUGGUUCAGAUCCUUCCGUACCGCACGGUACUCCCUGCCGAAACCCUAGCUUUUUCAGUACAUUGAGUUCAGGAGUGUGAAAAUGGAUUUGCUUACAAAAAUAGGUAGUAGGAAGUUUGUAGUAUCCCUAUUUUUAUGCGUGUGGUUGGUUUCAUAUUGAGCUAAUGAAUUAUGAAGAUAAUAAGUUUUACUGACAGGAAGUUUGGUCUUUUGGUAUUUAUAUCUUCCCAAAAUUAAUGAUUUUGCAAAUAUCAGUAAUGCUAACAAGCUCAUAUGUUUGCUGAAACAUCGCUGUUGCUCUGAAACAGAAGUCGAUCAAACUCUUUAAAUUGCACCUCCUAUAUUUAUUUUAGCUUAGAUUGAUUCCGGAAGUCUACGGGAGACUAGAACUUUCUUCCUGCUUCUCUGACUUUUUUCUGGUUCUUAGCCUUCUCUCCUCCCAUGCUUGACUGCAUUUGUCUGUUCAUUGUAUGCUUAUUCUUGACCUGUAGACAAACCCAUUAACGACUUUGAUAUCCAAGUCUAGGAAUGAAUUUUAUAUCUAUAGUUUGAGUUAAGAAAUAUACAUUCUGAGCAGAUGAACGCACAAGCCCAGAAGACUGCUGAUCUUGAGGCUUUAGUGCAUCGGCUAUUUGCACGUAGCCAGCCUGCAGUGAGCGGUGGUAGUAGAGAUUUCUCAUCGAGAUGAGGGAUGAAGAUCUUCUUUGCCAUGGACUUGCAUUAAAUGAUGAUUUGCAGCAUGUCCUAUCCAAAACGAUGCUCUUAAUGCAGGUGUUGUUGUUCGUAUGCAGAAAACAAAGUCUCUUCAGGCACUUAAUGCAGAUAUUCCUCCUCUUCAUGGACAAGCACUCUGCAAGUCCUAUUGCUCAAGGAUUCGGGAGGCUUGUCAAUCUUUGAUGUCAUUGGUACCUUCUGCCAUUAACUAUUUGUAAUUAAUGAUACAAAUUUGAGAUUGUUGUUUCUAGUUUUCUUGAUGUAAUUUGUUUUUGAGAGACUUUAUGUACUUGGGUAUGUAAGAGGAAGUUUGUAAAUUAACGCUUUUAGCGCUCAAGGGGAAAUGGAAAAAUAGACUUUUAUGUUGAUUUGAA
Long non-coding RNA from Asparagus officinalis (garden asparagus), 1893 nucleotides. RefSeq lists it as uncharacterized. NCBI's taxonomy places the organism in Eukaryota, Viridiplantae, Streptophyta, Magnoliopsida, Asparagales, Asparagaceae. The record is from RefSeq and is a predicted model, not a curated record. The transcript is spliced from 2 exons.